GAUCUUUAGCUCAGUUGGUUAGAGCAACCGGCUCAUAACCGGUUGGUCCGGGGUUCGAGUCCCUGAAGGUC
This 71-nucleotide transfer RNA is filed under the name Clostridium tyrobutyricum DIVETGP. RNAcentral's name for it is "tRNA-Met-CAT". It matches the Rfam family "tRNA". Rfam says of the family: Transfer RNA (tRNA) molecules are approximately 80 nucleotides in length. Lineage: Bacteria; Bacillati; Bacillota; Clostridia; Eubacteriales; Clostridiaceae. The record is from RNAcentral.